GACGAACGCUGGCGGCGUGCUUAACACAUGCAAGUCGAACGGAAAGGCCUGCUUUCCCUUGUGGAUUGCGGGUACUCGAGUGGCGAACGGGUGAGUAACACGUGAGUGAUCUGCCCCCAACUUGGGUAUAAGCCCGGGAAACUGGGUCUAAUUCCCGAUAGGACUGCAGGGUGGUGCCUGUGGUGGAAAACGAUUUUCUAGUGGUUGGGGAUGAGCUCGCGGCCUAUCAGCUUGUUGGUGGGGUAAUGGCCUACCAAGGCGGCGACGGGUGGCCGGCCUGAGAGGGUGGACGGCCACAUUGGGACUGGGAUACGGCCCAGACUCCUACGGGAGGCAGCAGUGGGGAAUAUUGCACAAUGGGCGGAAGCCUGAUGCAGCGACGCCGCGUGGGGGAUGACGGCCUUCGGGUUGUAAACUCCUUUCGACCGCGAGGAAGCCACCUGGUUGGAAGGGUGGUGACGGUAGUGGUAGAAGAAGCACCGGCUAACUACGUG
Molecule: ribosomal RNA, 494 nt
Filed under: uncultured bacterium
Lineage: Bacteria
Description: partial 16S ribosomal RNA
Rfam family: Bacterial small subunit ribosomal RNA
Source: RNAcentral